CGGCCACAUUGGGACUGAGACACGGCCCAAACUCCUACGGGAGGCUGCAGUAGGGAAUCUUCCACAAUGGGCGAAAGCCUGAUGGAGCAACGCCGCGUGUGUGAUGAAGGCUUUCGGGUCGUAAAGCACUGUUGUAUGGGAAGAAAAGUUAAGGUAGGGAAUGACCUUAGCCUGACGGUACCAUACCAGAAAGGGACGGCUAAAUACGUGCCAGCAGCCGCGGUAAUACGUAUGUCCCGAGCGUUAUCCGGAUUUAUUGGGCGUAAAGCGAGCGCAGACGGUUGGUUAAGUCUGAUGUGAAAGCCCGGAGCUCAACUCCGGAAAGGCAUUGGAAACUGGUUAACUUGAGUGCAGUAGAGGUAAGUGGAACUCCAUGUGUAGCGGUGGAAUGCGUAGAUAUAUGGAAGAACACCAGCGGCGAAGGCGGCUUACUGGACUGUAACUGACGUUGAGGCUCGAAAGUGUGGGUAGCAAACAGGAUUAGAUACCCUGGUAGUCCACACCGUAAACGAUGAACACUAGGUGUUAGGAGGUUUCCGCCUCUUAGUGCCGAAGCUAACGCAUUAAGUGUUCCGCCUGGGGAGUACGACCGCAAGGUUGAAACUCAAAGGAAUUGACGGGGACCCGCACAAGCGGUGGAGCAUGUGGUUUAAUUCGAAGCAACGCGAAGAACCUUACCAGGUCUUGACAUCCUUUGAAGCUUUUAGAAAUAGAAGUGUUCUCUUCGGAGACAAAGUGACAGGUGGUGCAUGGUCGUCGUCAGCUCGUGUCGUGAGAUGUUGGGUUAAGUCCCGCAACGAGCGCAACCCUUAUUGUUAGUUGCCAGCAUUCAGAUGGGCACUCUAGCGAGACUGCCGGUGACAAACCGGAGGAAGGCGGGGACGACGUCAGAUCAUCAUGCCCCUUAUGACCUGGGCUACACACGUGCUACAAUGGCGUAUACAACGAGUUGCCAACCUGCGAAGGUGAGCUAAUCUCUUAAAGUACGUCUCAGUUCGGACUGCAGUCUGCAACUCGACUGCACGAAGUCGGAAUCGCUAGUAAUCGCGGAUCAGCACGCCGCGGUGAAUACGUUCCCGGGUCUUGUACACACCGCCCGUCACACCAUGGAAGUUUGUAAUGCCCAAAGCCGGUGGCCUAACCGUAAGGAGGGAACCGUC
This 1160-nucleotide ribosomal RNA is filed under the name Leuconostoc carnosum. RNAcentral's name for it is "bacterial SSU rRNA". It matches the Rfam family "Bacterial small subunit ribosomal RNA", at positions 305 to 1457 of the family's 1533-position model. Lineage: Bacteria; Bacillati; Bacillota; Bacilli; Lactobacillales; Lactobacillaceae. The record is from RNAcentral.